UGGUGCAAAAACGGGUGCGCCCGAACCAGGAAGCUCGGCGCCACGCCAGGCGCUCGCCCCGACCCGCCUUCCUCCGCCGCCUCGCCGCAUCUGCCGGCCUCACCGGAGAUCACCGCCGCCGCGACCAGGUCACGUCGCUGCACCUGCCUUCUCCUCAUCCCUCUCAUUCCUUCCUCCCUCUCACCAUCUCUCUCUCUCCCUCUCAUUGCAGCGGCGCCAUGGCCGCCCCGAGCUUCGCCGGCAGCCGCGUCGCCUGCCUCCGGCCACGACUCUGGCGGGAUCCAGCCGCCCCUGCCCGGAUCCGCAUCCUCCGCUCCGCCGUGCCCCCGAUCCGGCCACCACCAAGCCUCCCGCAUUGAUCCGCCCGUCCACCGGCCUCCCCCUGCUCGAUUCGGUUUGACGAGCGAAGUUAAAUGUCUUGUGGUGUCGAGGAUAAUAGUUUUUUUAGCUCCCGCAUGGUGAGUUGAGGAGGUUCUAUUUAGUUUUUGAUCUGUCGUGAGCGAUUCCUGUAUGGAAUUGGUAGAUCUUUGUGAAAAUUCGUACAUAUCUCAGUGCUCUGCGUUCUACUCCUGUAUGGAGUACUUGUUACUGUCGCUUUAGUCCUUUCAUUCUUUGAUCCUUAAAUGUGAGUUGCUGCGGUGAAUUAGCAGCUCAUUGGUGAAUCCAUGAAUCGGCGGUGAUGAAUUAGCAACUUGAUCUUGAACUUCAGGUAAGUUCACGUGGACACUAUAUCAAUCCUGAUGCACAAUUUAUUCUUAUUUAUUCAAUUCCAAUCGGCAUCUUCUCUGUCGUAAAAAUAUAUGGUUUUGCCUAGAAGGAUGGUACCAAAAAAGAGUGAAUCCACCAUCUUCUUUGAAUGCCACAUUGUGAAACCUUUUCAUCUCUGGCUGAUCUGUCUUUGCCCACCCUUACUCCUCGAUGCGCCUCCGUGUAGAUGACUAAGCUAUUUAUUCUGUUUAUUUGCAGGUGAUAUGAUGCGGCUGGUUCCGGGUUCUGUGCUCUUCUGAAGGUGAACACAUGCCAGGAAGGAAAGCUUCUCUGGUCGUGGCGCGGCAUAGGAUGGAUUGAUGGUUGCUUCCUUUCGAACCACACAAACCCCUUCUAGCAUGGUCGAGAUGAUCAAAAUGGAGGAGGGUCUCAGUAUGUGGCUGUUUGUUUCCUUGGUACUGAAAUGCUAUCAAGCAGCUGGCUUCAGUGGCGGAGCUUCCUGUAGACCAACAGACACCAGAAGACAUCAUAAUGACCUGCAGGUUAGGGAGGAGGGUCGGGGCAACCACGAAUUCCGUCCUGCACUGCUUCAACACCGGCUUAUUCUAGCAUGAAUCUUCUACCGUAAGGAUUUGAUGCAGCAAGGGCCAUUUGUUUGACAGAAAUAGAGUUGUUACCGCAAGAGGUACAAAUCAAGGACUGAGGAGGGACGAGUGCGGAUUUGAUCUAAGUUGGGUUACUUUCUAUGAAUAGAUGGUGUGAUUGCUUUGUCAUUUCAUUUAAUUAAUAGAAAAUUGAUGAGGCAAUUGGAAGAAUCGAGCAGCAAUUUUACUACAGAUCUGCGCCAUUGAUUUGGUCAUCUCUGUCAGUAGCAAGUUGCAUAAGAAAGGGUGGUGGCGUUGCAGAGGCGUGAAUGAAAAAGUUAGUCUGGGAUACAAUUAUAAUUGUGAGUCCCUCAAUUAUAGAGCUGAUCCAGGUGAAAGAUGUAGGUGGUGUGUGGAUUGAACUCUAGAUCGGGAACCUGCAGUACUAGAUGGACGAUAACUAUGCUUACAAUUAUUGAUCGAGAACUGUGAGGUAUGUGCCUGUCCCUCUUCCACCCAUAUCAACAUGUAAUUUUGUAAGAAGCUAAUUUAGUAUAGCAAGAACAUCAUGUUUUAGACACAGACUGCAGAUCGAUGUACUUUGUCCGUCUUUCCUUCACCAAAGCAUGCGUUGUGAGAUCAUGAUUACUACCAGGUACAACAUUGCAAUUUAUUUUCCAGAAUGUUCCUUGAACACACUCCCAAGUUACCAACCAUCAGCAAUUAUAGUCUCCUCAAUUCGGAUGCAUAGGAAUGCAACUUUUAUCCGAAUGUGCAACAAAAGCAUGUUGUUUGUAUCUGUUGACCAUUGAAAUCCCAAGACCAAUGCAUGGAGAAGUAGCCUGUGAACCCUAAGUUAUUUAUUGAGAAAUUAAACCACAUAUUUGACUACUUAUUGAUCUCCGAUCUCUAUAAAUUAUCCUUAAUCUGUUUUUUGUGAAGACAGCGGAUGAGAAAGAAACAGUAUCCAGGACCGUGUACUAUACUAACAUUGUAAUUAUGGGUCCAUGCCACCUAUUUCUAUUUUGAAGCUGUUCUUUUAGGAACAGAUGAUUACACAUGACGUAAUGUUUUCCAUGACUAUGUACUAUACUAACAUUAGAAAUUAUGGGUCCAUGCUAGGUAUUUAUAUUUUGAAGCAAUUCCGUCAGGAACAGAUGAUCACACAAUAUCUUUUGAUAAAUCCUUUUUACCUAGCUUCUGAUUUCUAUUAUCAGAAACAGAUUGUCUGUUCUUACAGGAAACAUGUACAAACAGCCGUUAUUCGUUAUUGUGCUCUUCCAUGUUGCGCCGCUGACAAGAGGAUGGAGGGUUUUAGUCGUCGUCGCGGAGAAGAAGGGUAACCACCAAGCAGGAGAGAGGGAGGAAAGCUAUGCCCGUUCGCUGGAAGCCAGGCAACCCGGCGCCAUCGUCGAGGAGAGCGAGGAGGGGCUAGAUUGCGCCGCCAUAGAGGUGAGCUAUGAGGGGCUGCGGCGUCCCUGCAUAGGAGGGGGGAGAGAAGCCGCCACCACACCACGUGAUUCUACUUGAAACUCCUCGGAGCUUGCACCAGGCUCAAGCGUGAGUCCACUGAUCUUCAUAUUCAGGCUGCAACAUUUUCUGAAUUUUAAGUUUGGCUGAAGAUGCUCUUACUCGUACACUAGAUCAACUGUACAAAUUGCUCUAAAUGUACUGCUUGACUGCUUGUCUUUAUUUUAAUCA
Long non-coding RNA from Triticum aestivum (bread wheat), 2993 nucleotides. RefSeq lists it as uncharacterized. The record is from RefSeq and is a predicted model, not a curated record. Lineage: Eukaryota; Viridiplantae; Streptophyta; Magnoliopsida; Poales; Poaceae. The transcript has 2 exons.